GCUGCCCGUUUAGGGUUGUGACCCAGGAGUCGCUGUGGUUAUCAACUGCGAGAGCUCAAACGGACACAUGAGAAGCAGCUUUGUUUAGCGUCCUUGACAUAACUAACCACAUAUUAACAACAGAGCCUUGUGGUAUAGAGGCUCCUGUUUGUUCAGAAUCUUAAUAGGUGGGCUUUGUGCACAUGGAUUUCUAAUACUGCUUACCCUGUAUUUUAAGUCAAAGAGGGUCUUUGUGUGAAGGAUUCUCCACCUCCUUUUCCCUUUCUACGAAGGAGGCACAAAGCUGAUCAUUCAGUGGAGUCCAUUCUCACCAUGAGAAGAACAUUCUACUGUCAGCAGGCAGAGUGAGGAUGGAGACAUCACUGAUUCACUUGGCUAGUUCCAUGUGGGCAUUCCAUGUCCAUGGAUGAAUGGAUAAGUAACUGAUCCACAAGAGGAGG
RNAcentral lists this long non-coding RNA (440 nucleotides) under Homo sapiens (human). Its description in RNAcentral is "non-protein coding lnc-RPS6KC1-1:1". Lineage: Eukaryota; Metazoa; Chordata; Mammalia; Primates; Hominidae. The record is from RNAcentral.